GGGGAGAGGCCCGAAGCCCUGGAGACAGCGCCCGAGGGAUGGAGGCCGCGCUCGGCUGCGCUCAGGUGCGGGUGGCUCCGGGAGCUGAGACCCCGCAGGAUGCAGCGGGGGGGCCAGGGCCUGAUCCCCUACCCCUGGGAGCCAGGGCCGCCUACGCCCCCACUGCUUCCCACAGGCUACUAGACGCAACAAUAGAAUUACCAUAUUGUUUUUCCUGGUUUGAAAGGACCAGAUGGAAAGAAACUGGGCAAGCCAAUGAAAGUCUCUGGGGAUCAUGGGAAUUGAGUGUCUAUGAAAACCAUAUUCCAGACAAGAAUAUAGUCUAAGGACACAGCAAAAGGCAACAUUUUGGAAGCAGAGGGCAACUCUCACUGGAAACCAAAUCUCCUGGCACCUUGAUCUUGGACUUUACAGCCUCCAGAACUGAUAGCUGGGAGGCAUUAUAUAGUCAUGUGCGAG
This 459-nucleotide long non-coding RNA is filed under the name Pan troglodytes (chimpanzee). RNAcentral's name for it is "lincRNA". Lineage: Eukaryota; Metazoa; Chordata; Mammalia; Primates; Hominidae. The record is from RNAcentral.